This 412-nucleotide ribosomal RNA is filed under the name uncultured bacterium. RNAcentral describes it as "bacterial SSU rRNA". It matches the Rfam family "Bacterial small subunit ribosomal RNA", at positions 28 to 422 of the family's 1533-position model. The record is from RNAcentral.
GACGAACGCUGGCGGCGUGCUUAACACAUGCAAGUCGAACGGAGUUUACAGACGGAAGCCUUCGGGUGGAAGGCUGUAAACUGAGUGGCGGACGGGUGAGUAACGCGUGGGUAACCUGCCUUAUACAGGGGGAUAACAGUUAGAAAUGACUGCUAAUACCGCAUAAGCGCACAGGAUUGCAUGAUCUGGUGUGAAAAACUCCGGUGGUAUAAGAUGGACCCGCGUCUGAUUAGCUGGUUGGUGAGGUAACGGCCCACCAAGGCGACGAUCAGUAGCCGACCUGAGAGGGUGACCGGCCACAUUGGGACUGAGACACGGGCCCAGACUCCUACGGGAGGCAGCAGUGGGGAAUAUUGCACAAUGGGGGAAACCCUGAUGCAGCGACGCCGCGUGGAGGAAGAAGGUCUUCGGA